RNAcentral lists this ribosomal RNA (250 nucleotides) under uncultured bacterium. RNAcentral describes it as "partial 16S ribosomal RNA". It matches the Rfam family "Bacterial small subunit ribosomal RNA", at positions 103 to 339 of the family's 1533-position model. The record is from RNAcentral.
CGGGUGAGUAACACGUAGAUAAUCUACCUUCAAGCCUGGGAUAACUAUUCGAAAGGAUGGCUAAUACCGGAUAAAGUUUAUUGACAUAAGUUGGUUUAUGAAAGAUUGCCUCUUCUUGAAAGCAAUUGUUUGGAGAUGAGUUUGCGGACCAUUAGUUUGUUGGUGGGGUAAAGGCCUACCAAGACUACGAUGGUUAGCUGGUCUGAGAGGAUGAUCAGCCACACUGGAACUGGUACACGGUCCAGACUCC